CCCUUAGAUGUUCUGGGCCGCACGCGCGCUACACUGACGAAUUCAACGAGCUUAUAACCUUGGCCGAAAGGUCUAGGUAAUCUCCAAAAUUCGUCGUGAUGGGGAUAGAUUAUUGCAAUUAUUAAUCUUCAACGAGGAAUGCCUAGUAAGCGCAAGUCAUCAGCUUGCGUUGAUUACGUCCCUGCCCUUUGUACACACCGCCCGUCGCACCUACCGAUUGGAUGGUCCGGUGAAGCCUCGGGAUUGUGGUUCUUGCCGCUUUAUUGUGGCGUGACCGCGAGAACUUGUCUAAACCUUAUCAUCUAGAGGAAGGUGAAGUCGUAACA
RNAcentral lists this ribosomal RNA (326 nucleotides) under uncultured eukaryote. Its description in RNAcentral is "partial 18S ribosomal RNA". It matches the Rfam family "Eukaryotic small subunit ribosomal RNA", at positions 1470 to 1796 of the family's 1831-position model. The record is from RNAcentral.